GGUACGGUUAUAUACGACAAAUGUUAGAAAACAAAGGUACAUGUAGUCAUAUAUAACAUUAUAGAAUAUACUUUGAGUAAAUUACUAUCAUUACACUUCAUAAGUUUAUUUUUUUUUGUCUACUAUCUACAUUAUUUUCAUCCAAAAUAAAGAGAGAGAAUUGAAAUGCAAUAAAAAAUCAAAAGAUAAUAUGCUAUUUUUCCACCGACACAUUUUUGCAGUGUUCAUCAUCAUUAAGAGGAGUGCUAGCAUCACAUCCUCUCACACACUUCUUUAAACACAGUCCAAUCUAUUAAUGCCACAUCACCUUUUUUAAAAAUAAUAUUUACCUAUCAACCGGUUCAACAAGUUCAAAAUAUAUUUUCUUUUUUUUUUUAAUAAAAAAUAAAAAAAAAUAAAACUUUAACAUCUUUCUUCUCCGAUCCUCUUCAUCUCCAAGAACUUCAAUCACACAUCCCUUUGUUGCGUACAUAUCGGUUUUGCCACGAGCUCCGGCGGCCGUUGCCGUCUCCAUCGAGAGUGAACUAUUUGAUUUCAUGGAUUUGCUGGUAUUUUAUAAUUUAAUUGCUUCUAUGAAGAAGGUAUAUGAGUAUCCAUCUUUGGUAAUUAUACAAUUGAUUCAUGUUUUGCUAAACAAUUAUCUGGCAAUGAGGCUUGUUCAAAAAAAGUUAUGUGGCAAUGAGAAUUUUGGUAGUUAUAAAAUCUUUAGUUGAUUGCCAAACGAUGAACCUGCAGUAAAGAUCCAUGGAUGUGAUUGGAGCUACAAGAGAAGAGAUGGAGAGAAUUGGAGAAGACAUGUGUUAACUUGUUUAUUUUUUAAUUAAAA
Molecule: long non-coding RNA, 826 nt
Filed under: Trifolium pratense (red clover)
Lineage: Eukaryota; Viridiplantae; Streptophyta; Magnoliopsida; Fabales; Fabaceae
Description: long non-coding RNA (TPRA_LNC009906)
Source: RNAcentral